AUUUUAAAUCAAUUAUCCGCAGACAGUAGGUGUUACAAGACUUAAUAUCCUACCUAGGAAAAACAGUAAUAUUAGCCAACUAGGCUAUUUUACUCCUAUAAUCUGCGGAAUUAGCAGAUUUUUUAAUUU
Molecule: small RNA, 129 nt
Filed under: marine eukaryotic metagenome
Description: Ribosomal protein L10 leader
Rfam family: Ribosomal protein L10 leader
About the family: This family is a putative r-protein leader autoregulatory structure found in B. subtilis and other low-GC Gram-positive bacteria.
Source: RNAcentral